GGGUCCCCACGCUGGGCUGGAAGCCCCUACCUGAGACAGCUGGCCCAUCGUAAUGGGGGUGGUGGUGGGGAUGGGAGCCCCACUCCUCCCCACCCCUCCCCAGCUCUCCGAUGCGCGGGUUUCCAAGCCCCUCCCUCCGCCCGGCUGUGGGUUCGCGCUCGCCGGCGGUUCCCACACUGCGCGGGCGGGCGGCGAGGGAAGCGUGCCUGGGCCCCCCCGCGGCAUUAGUGCCGGGGUCUGAGUCUGAAUGAAUGAGGGCGGCGGCGGGGGGCGCGGGGGGGCAACUCCCAAAAGACCAUCUGGCUCCGCGUUAUAAUAGAGCAAUAAAGGGCUUGUCUGCCUUUCAGAGGUUGGGGAGGCCCGGAAAGCUGGGCAGGGGGAGCCUGAGGUUGCGCCCAUGCCCUCUGGGGUGUGGACUCCAGUCCCUUGGUGAAGGUGGGGCCUGGAAUGGUGCACAAAGCUGGGGCCUCAAGCCUGGCCUGGGACUUGGGAAGGCUGCAGUCUGUGGGGGGUGC
This 515-nucleotide long non-coding RNA is filed under the name Homo sapiens (human). Its description in RNAcentral is "non-protein coding lnc-HES5-3:2". The record is from RNAcentral. Lineage: Eukaryota; Metazoa; Chordata; Mammalia; Primates; Hominidae.